CGUUUGCAAGGGUGUAACGUUAACGUCAACGCUACAUAGUUUGAUCUCGUAGCGUUUGAUUGCGGGUCUCUAUUAAAUGUUACUGGACGACAUCUCUUUGUGUUGCGAUUGCCGCUCCAGACAUAAUCGAGAAUUCACGAGUUCAGCCCUCGGCUUUCAAUAUAGCUUUCUGCGAUUGCGAGCGUCAGCGCUAAGCCAAGCUAGGUUCACAGUGGAGCGCCGGAGGAUGCCCAUCCGCCGAUCACCACCCAGGGAUAACGCCAAGGGUUUAACACGUAACUUCCACACACACAAACAUUAUUUGAGCUAUGAAUCAAUCGUAUGAAUAUGUAAACGGGUCCGCUGCUUCCCUAAAAAACAUAGGGUCGGCCAGCAUGCAGAUGAAGUCUUGUGCUAAAUCAUCAGUCAAAAUUAGCUGCUGAUAUUCUGCUAUGGUCUAUGCAAGAUGAACUGUAUACAUUGAAUCAACGGUGACUCCCUAAAUCCGCAUGAUCAUUUUAUUAUGCGACGUGAUUCGUUAAAUCUAAUUUGGGUGCUGUUGGCAGAUAGUCACUGGAGGGUGUUUCUGAAUACCAACACACAAGGAGGUGGCGGCGUUGCCUUUGCAGUCUGAGGUCCCAAUUAACAUAAGUAACAACAUAAUAUACACUGAUGUAUAUAUGUGACGUUCAUUUCCCAAAACCGUUUUCCGAAGCAGGGUACUACUGCAUUGUAAUAUAAUAAUCCUUUGAAUGUAUAAUGCCAAGAGGUACUUGGUUCGGCUCCAAAUGUCCACAUCCUAUUGGCACCCUCGAGCCAGAAGCGUGACCCAUGUACGUGUGUCUGAAUGCAGCGUGACUUCUACUUUAACAAUAUGGGUCUGACUUCAGUGUAAGCCCCUUUGGUUAAACGUUUCGCCUGAAUGACCAAAUAGUUUGAAGCAAAGCAUAAAUGUACUUUAAUGCAGAUGACAUACUGUUGGUGUGCAAUGUGUGAUAAAAUCAGUUAUCACAACACAUUGUGAUAUUUGAAUCGAAAGACAUGAUGUUUUAAGGUUUAAAAAAUGUGGUUGUUUAGAUCUAUGCACAACUAUUUUCUGUGUCAAGAUGAGCAAAACAGUCACGAACGAUUUUGGAAAUACCGUUUAUUGCUACUCCACAGUGGUCCUUAAUCCAGCUCAGAAGUUGUUUGGGAGAUAAUUCCCCAAAACAUGUUUUCUUUCUAAUUUACAGCCAUAAUAUUGUCAUUAUAAUGCAAACAUGCAAUAUAUAUAUAUAUAUAUAUAUAUUUAAAAAAAGCAACAACACACCUGUGUGAUAUUUAGAUUAUCAAUCAUCAAACUAUCCCUGAUGAACAGUGGUCCCAGUAGGCCAGUAUAAAAACAUUAAGGUAACCUUUCUAUCCUUUCUAUCCUAUCCCACACAGCAAGAUACUUCCCACCCCCUUUCCAUGUCCUCAAUCGUCAGUUAAGAUAAGGAAAGAUUUAAGGCCUGUACUGUUAAUAUUUUAUUUGUAUUUAGCUUCCGUUAUCAGGGUCAUUUUUUGGACAGGCGUCUUGAAUGGGUCAUUUAUAUCCAUAUUUAUGUGAUGUAUCUUUUGUGAUAUAGAAUUGCUGUAUCAUCCUUUAAUGCAUUCUGUACUUUUUGAAAUGGCUGGUCAAUUGUUCAAUAUUACCAUUUAGUCAUUGUAUUGUAGUAUACAGUUGUGAAAUGUAAAAGUGCUGGCUUAUCAAAAUACCUGUUUUUAACCUCUAAGCAGAAUGAAAAUAAAAUAUGUCCUUGGGUGAUACCAAAAAACACAUGAGGUUUGAAAUGGCUGAGAGAAAUAAAAUGCUUGCAUUAUAGGCCAAAAUCGACUCUAGUUUAUUGUGAUACUCCAUCUAACCUUUUACACCCUGAAUUAUUCUUACUACUAAGCCAUAUGCUCCUCAGAGCCCAGUGAUACCCAGCCCAGUCCACUCUAUAUAAUAACAAAGUGUGUCCUGAAACAUCUCUUAUUACAUCCCUUCUCUUUUUUUUUUGCCUC
This is a long non-coding RNA of Gadus macrocephalus (Pacific cod), 2004 nucleotides long. RefSeq lists it as uncharacterized. The transcript has 3 exons. The record is from RefSeq and is a predicted model, not a curated record. Lineage: Eukaryota; Metazoa; Chordata; Actinopteri; Gadiformes; Gadidae.